Molecule: long non-coding RNA, 1923 nt
Organism: Helicoverpa zea (corn earworm)
Lineage: Eukaryota; Metazoa; Arthropoda; Insecta; Lepidoptera; Noctuidae
Exons: 2
Source: RefSeq, a predicted model, not a curated record
UUGCCUUACAUUAAACAGGUUCUAAAUAUGAGUCUUGUGUAAGACGGAGUGAAACCGAGAAGCAAUAUCCUAAGAUCGAUUUCUUUAAUACAAACCAUCGUUUACAGGAAUUCACUAUGAAAUGACGACAUCGCAAAGAGGGAGGGAACUUAUAUUAAUUGACGGGUAUACAUUCACCCAGUUGAGACCGAAGUACUGGGUCUGUUCCACCAGGACUGAUGGCUGUAAGGCGAAACUCCGGAGGAACUCGGAAGGGGCAAUCAUUGAUUAUGAUAUCGUUCACAGCCAUUCGCCGAGAGAAUAUGUACAAAUGCAAAAUGGAAAAUGUGUUAGAAUGCCGCAAAGAAAGUUUUUAUAAUGGGGCCUGUGAUCUGUGAAUUAAAGAUUCGCUUUUCCCCUUUAGUUUUUUAAACACUCGUCACUACGCCUUGUAUCAAAUGCCGCCCACAGCGCACAAUACGGUUAAAAACCAGUUUUUUGUCCAGCGGUGAUGAUAGGAAUGUACGUAUAUACAGACUGUAACAGGGUACUCAGAUGCAGUGACUACUAACAAGAUAUUUUUUUACGUGGAUGACAAUAUUUUUUUUAUACUUACUUUAUGAGAUGCAUUUGAAAUUUCAAAAUGUAAUUAUUAAUUUUAUUGAUCUUUUAUUAAUUCUAUUAAAUUGAUCUUAAUUUACUAUGGUUUUGAAUUAUUUAAUGCCACCCGUUCAAUUGCUGCGCAUUAAUCAAAUCUGCGAUUUGAUGGCUGUCAUGUAUCAAUAUAGUUUAAUGAUGCAACCCACCUUUAGAGUUAUCGAUGUCAGAGCAACUAAAAAGUUCUUUGUCAACAGAUUCUGAACAACGUUCGGGCGUUCCUUACUUCAUUGUGAAAUCUCAACGAGGGAAUGAUCUCCUUCUAGUCGAUGAUUACACGUUUUCAAAGAAGUAUAAACAAAAAGGUGUUUGGAUUUGUUCAAACAAAACAAGCAAAUGUAAGGCGAGACUGAGGUUAAACGAAGUUGGGGAUAUCACAAAAAUUUAUAACGAACAUUCCCAUCCUCCGGGCAGAUAUUUAAGACAAAAGAAUGGAGACUAUAUUAAAAUCUAAAUACAUAGAUUUAAUUUAUCUUUCUUGUUUAUUUGUAAAACUUCUCUGUGUUCAUGAGAACUUAUAAAAAUGAAGACGAGAUUCCCUACGCGAUAAUAAAAUCGCAAAGAGGCGCAGACCAUAUUCUUCAUGACAAUUAUACGUACACGAAGGUCAGAAGCAACAGCUUAGUAUGGAUAUGUUCAUCUAAAAGUACUUGCAAAGGGAAAAUCAGAUUGGAUGAGAAUGGAAAAAUCACUGAUGUGAUAAACACGCAUAACCACCCACCGGGAAAAUAUGUAAAACUUGGCGGUAACUACAUAAAAGUGAGAUAGAAUCUGUGUGUCCAUAUAUUUUACACUUAAUGUUUUUUUUCUCCUUUCUGCUGUCAUUGAUCAUCUUUAGCACUUAGCAGUCGUUACGGGUCGGAAGCCAGUAAGUUUGACAACCAGUCUUACCUAGGAGUAUCGGCUUGCCCGGGUAACUGGGUUGAGGAGGUCCGACAGGCAGUCGCUCUUUGUACACUAGUACUCAGCUACAUCUGGUUAGGUAGAUGAUGAUAUAUUUUUCUGAUAACGCCUCUGUAUUUUAGUAGUACGUACAGACUAUUCUACCUUUUAUUAUUACUGCGGCAGUAAUUAUCAAUUCUACACGCAAUAUCCAUUGCACUUGGUACUAGGAACGUGAUCGUUUUUGACUUUGAACAUUGAAAUCUUGCAAUCUUGAAACGCUGUUUAGAACUAUGUUUUAUUUAUUAUGCAGCGAAUUUGAAUGCAGCACUUUUUUAGUGAGUUAAAACAUAUCUUAUAAUAGGCAUUGUAUGGCAUAAGAUGUAUUACAUGAGUGACGAACUA